UACGCACCGUCCAAACGUUAUUCGGAAUUACUGGGCUUAAAGGGUACGUAGGCGGCGCUUCAAGUCGGGUGUGAAAUCCCUCGGCUCAACCGAGGAACUGCGCCCGAUACUGGGGUGCUUGAGGGAGACAGAGGUAAGCGGAACUGAUGGUGGAGCGGUGAAAUGCGUUGAUAUCAUCAGGAACACCGGUGGCGAAAGCGGCUUACUGGGUCUCUUCUGACGCUGAGGUACGAAAGCUAGGGUAGCGAAGGGG
Molecule: unclassified non-coding RNA, 253 nt
Filed under: uncultured Pirellulaceae bacterium
Lineage: Bacteria; Pseudomonadati; Planctomycetota; Planctomycetia; Pirellulales; Pirellulaceae
Description: contains 16S-23S intergenic spacer region
Rfam family: Bacterial small subunit ribosomal RNA
Source: RNAcentral